RNAcentral lists this ribosomal RNA (253 nucleotides) under uncultured bacterium. RNAcentral describes it as "partial 16S ribosomal RNA". It matches the Rfam family "Bacterial small subunit ribosomal RNA", at positions 524 to 776 of the family's 1533-position model. The record is from RNAcentral.
UACGAAGGGGGCUAGCGUUGUUCGGAAUCACUGGGCAUAAAGCGCACGUAGGCGGAUUUUUAAGUCAGGGGUGAAAUCCCGAGGCUCAACCUCGGAACUGCCUUUGAUACUGGAGAUCUUGAGUUCGGGAGAGGUGAGUGGAACUGCGAGUGUAGAGGUGAAAUUCGUAGAUAUUCGCAAGAACACCAGUGGCGAAGGCGGCUCACUGGCCCGAUACUGACGCUGAGGCACGAAAGCGUGGGGAGCAAACAGG